UUCUUUGCUGACGAGUGGCGGACGGGUGAGUAAUGUCUGGGAAACUGCCUGAUGGAGGGGGAUAACUACUGGAAACGGUAGCUAAUACCGCAUAACGUCGCAAGACCAAAGAGGGGGACCUUCGGGCCUCUUGCCAUCGGAUGUGCCCAGAUGGGAUUAGCUAGUAGGUGGGGUAACGGCUCACCUAGGCGACGAUCCCUAGCUGGUCUGAGAGGAUGACCAGCCACACUGGAACUGAGACACGGUCCAGACUCCUACGGGAGGCAGCAGUGGGGAAUAUUGCACAAUGGGCGCAAGCCUGAUGCAGCCAUGCCGCGUGUAUGAAGAAGGCCUUCGGGUUGUAAAGUACUUUCAGCGGGGAGGAAGGGAGUAAAGU
RNAcentral lists this ribosomal RNA (376 nucleotides) under Escherichia coli. Its description in RNAcentral is "bacterial SSU rRNA". It matches the Rfam family "Bacterial small subunit ribosomal RNA", at positions 81 to 460 of the family's 1533-position model. Lineage: Bacteria; Pseudomonadati; Pseudomonadota; Gammaproteobacteria; Enterobacterales; Enterobacteriaceae. The record is from RNAcentral.